Molecule: ribosomal RNA, 443 nt
Filed under: uncultured bacterium
Lineage: Bacteria
Description: bacterial SSU rRNA
Rfam family: Bacterial small subunit ribosomal RNA
Source: RNAcentral
CAGGCCUAACACAUGCAAGUCGAGCGGGGUUUUCGGACCUAGCGGCGGACGGGUGAGUAAUGCGUAGGAAGCUACCCGAUAGAGGGGGAUACCAGUUGGAAACGACUGUUAAUACCGCAUAAUGUCUACGGACCAAAGUGUGGGACCUUCGGGCCACAUGCUAUCGGAUGCGCCUACGUGGGAUUAGCUAGUUGGUGAGGUAAUAGCUCACCAAGGCGACGAUCCCUAGCUGGUUUGAGAGGAUGAUCAGCCACACUGGAACUGAGACACGGUCCAGACUCCUACGGGAGGCAGCAGUGGGGAAUAUUGGACAAUGGGCGCAAGCCUGAUCCAGCCAUGCCGCGUGUGUGAAGAAGGCCUUCGGGUUGUAAAGCACUUUCAGUAGGGAGGAAGCGUUGAGUGUUAAUAGUACUCAGCGUUGACGUACCUCAGAGAGCCGGUAC